GGCGAAGCGUUUCCUGCAGGAAUUUUACCGGGAUGGCCCCGAGGGACACAAGGAAUUCCCAUACCGGGAUCAGCUGAGGGCUCUGGCGCACCGGGAGCAGGUGGCCCUGUGGGUGGCCCUGGACGACGUGGCCGAGGACGAGCCCGAGCUGGCCGAGGCCGUGGCCGAGAACGCCCGCAGGCUGGGCAGGGUCUUCACCGAGGCCGUGCAGGAGCUGCUGCCCCUCUACAGGGACACAGAGGUGACCCCCCGGGACCCCCUGGACGUUUACCUGGAGCA
This is a long non-coding RNA of Myiozetetes cayanensis, 279 nucleotides long. RefSeq lists it as uncharacterized. The record is from RefSeq and is a predicted model, not a curated record. Lineage: Eukaryota; Metazoa; Chordata; Aves; Passeriformes; Tyrannidae. The transcript has 3 exons.